CAUGUAGUUAGCCGUGGCUUAUUCAAGGGGUACCGUCUUCUGCUCUUCCCCCUUAAAAGAAGUUUACAACCCGAAAGCCUUCUUCCUUCACGCGGCGUUGCUGGGUCAGGCUUGCACCCAUUGCCCAAUAUUCCCCGCUGCUGCCUCCCGUAGGAGUCUGGGCCGUAUCUCAGUCCCAAUGUGGCCGGCCAACCUCUCAGUCCGGCUACUGAUCGUCGCCUUGGUGGGCCGUUACCUCACCAACUAGCUAAUCAGACGCGAGGCCAUCUUCCAGCGAUAAAUCUUUGGCGUCAGAGUCAUGCGGCUCCAACGCAUCAUGCGGUAUUAGCAGUCGUUUCCAACUGUUCGUCCCCCUCUCGGAAGGUCGAGGUUCCCUCACCGGUCGUUACUACCACCACGUCCGCCAACUAAGCCAUUCCCAUCCGUUGUACCCGAAAACUCCUU
Molecule: ribosomal RNA, 444 nt
Filed under: uncultured Oscillibacter sp.
Lineage: Bacteria; Bacillati; Bacillota; Clostridia; Eubacteriales; Oscillospiraceae
Description: partial 16S ribosomal RNA
Source: RNAcentral